AUCACUUCUUGGUCUACUAAACAAAGUUCCACAAAAGCCUUUCAGUUCGAGUAAUUUGCUCAGAUCUCAUCACAAUGAAGCUGAGCGUGUUCAUCUUUGCUGCCCUGAUUUUUAUCAACUUGUGCACCUGCACGCCAAGGGACAUGGCAAAGGAUGGAUCUCACGGUACAACUGUGUCACCGAGGCAAAAUCGGGUACUCAUCGCUGCAACUGAUGGGAGGAAUGGACCUCCCAGCAAUGAUCACCAGUGCCCACUUGGGACCUACCCGAAUUGUUGAGCUUCCAUGCAUGUCUCAAAAUAUUGACGAACAGCUCAAGACGUUCAUGGAAAUUACACCGGUCUCUGCUGAUGAGGGAGCAUGAAUCUCAUGAACGAAAUAUAUAUAGCCCAAGGUUCCCGAUGUAGUUUUUCAAUUGCUACAUUCUAGCUAGCUUGCCAUGGAUGGCUUUGUUGCCAUCCUUAACAGCACUGCUUUGUUUUUAUGCUUAAUUAACGUCACUGUAUAAUUUCGAUGUUUAUGUGUAUAUAUAUAGAGAAACCUAGUAGAUAUUUUGUGUGUUUAAUCAGCUGCAUAUGCUUAGAUUUGUCUAGCAUGUGUAGCUUGUCAUGCCAAAAGCGAUUUAUGUGAAGGCUGUACA
Long non-coding RNA from Sorghum bicolor (sorghum), 639 nucleotides. RefSeq lists it as uncharacterized. NCBI's taxonomy places the organism in Eukaryota, Viridiplantae, Streptophyta, Magnoliopsida, Poales, Poaceae. The record is from RefSeq and is a predicted model, not a curated record. The transcript has 2 exons.